Molecule: transfer RNA, 71 nt
Filed under: Verrucomicrobiales bacterium
Lineage: Bacteria; Pseudomonadati; Verrucomicrobiota; Verrucomicrobiia; Verrucomicrobiales
Description: tRNA-Gly
Rfam family: tRNA
About the family: Transfer RNA (tRNA) molecules are approximately 80 nucleotides in length.
Source: RNAcentral
GCGCCCGUAAUUUAGUGGCAGAAUGCGAGCUUCCCAAGCUUGAUGUGAGGGUUCGAUUCCCUCCGGGCGUA